UGAGCAGCACUCUGUUCAUGGCAGAAGUAUGGGGCAAAGACACACCCUCUCAUGCACUUCCUCCUCAAAAAUUUGCAUGCGCCGCAAGGAGAGCCAAAGCCUGUCAUCUUUGAGUUCAGAAGCCUUCGAUGUCUUAGCCUAUAUUCCGUUCAAUGAGGACAAAGAAGCUCACUGCGACUCAACCUGAUUACAGUUCUCUUCGGAAUUCUUCCUUCUGGAAAAGGCCAAAAACUCAAAAGAACCUUUGUUCUCCAUGCUGAAUGGGAUGGUGUGCUUAUGCUGAUUGAUUGCUUUCAAUCAAUUUAGUGUCUGGCAAGGCAUAAGGACAAUCACAAUGCUAUCCUAUCAUCUCAUGGCCUGCUUCAGUAAACUCCAACUGAUCCUAGUUCCUGUUGAAGGAUUGAGACAUCAAGAGUUGGUGAAAUAUGAUUAUCAUCCUAAAGAGUAGAUAUGUUCUUCCUAUUUCAUAACAAACAGGUGAAAUGGUCAAAAUCGAAACUCAAUACCACUAUGCAUCAAGGUUAAGUCUCAAGUCAUGCCAUAGUUUCAAUCUUUGACUUAUUCCAGUAUCAUACUGACUCUCUAAUGCAUGAUGUCGGUGAUAAAUUGGAAGUUGAAGGAGGAAGGAGAUGAAGUAAAAGAAUGAUACAUUGUCUGUGUUGAGAGGUAUCGAGUUUUGGUAGUUUACUAGAAUAAUAUAUUUCGAUCAUGUCGCCAAGCAUGAUAUAAGAUUUAAAGCCAUGACAUGUUCAAUAUCUCCUUCCUAUGUUUCAUCUUCAAUUCCAAUCUAUUUCAG
Zingiber officinale is the source of this 796-nucleotide long non-coding RNA. RefSeq lists it as uncharacterized. NCBI's taxonomy places the organism in Eukaryota, Viridiplantae, Streptophyta, Magnoliopsida, Zingiberales, Zingiberaceae. The record is from RefSeq and is a predicted model, not a curated record. The transcript has 4 exons.